AGGACGAACGCUGGCGGCGUGCUUAAUACAUGCAAGUCAACUUGACUUUAGAUAGCAAUAUCGAAAAGUAGGGUGGCGCACGGGUGCGUAACGCGUAGGUAAUCUGCCCUGAGGUCUGACAUAACCCGUCGAAAGGCGGGCUAACAUCAGAUGAUAUAUAAUCACGACAUCGUGGAAAUAUCAAAUCUUCGGAGCCUUGGGAUGAGCCUGCGUCUGAUUAGGUAGUUGGCGGAGUAAUAGCCCACCAAGCCUACGAUCAGUAGCUGGUCUGAGAGGAUGAUCAGCCACACUGGAACUGAGACACGGUCCAGACUCCUACGGGAGGCAGCAGUAAGGAAUAUUGCUCAAUGGGGGAAACCCUGAAGCAGCAACGCCGCGUGAAGGAUGAAAUACUUUGUAUGUAAACUUCUGUAAGAUGGGAAAAAUAUUCUCCUCGGGAGAAUUGAUUGUACCAUCAGAGUAAGCCCCGGCUAACUACGUG
Molecule: ribosomal RNA, 481 nt
Filed under: uncultured bacterium
Lineage: Bacteria
Description: bacterial SSU rRNA
Rfam family: Bacterial small subunit ribosomal RNA
Source: RNAcentral